Molecule: ribosomal RNA, 440 nt
Filed under: uncultured Alphaproteobacteria bacterium
Lineage: Bacteria; Pseudomonadati; Pseudomonadota; Alphaproteobacteria
Description: partial 16S ribosomal RNA
Source: RNAcentral
GACUACAGGGGUAUCUAAUCCUGUUUGCUCCCCACGCUUUCGCACCUCAGCGUCAGUAUCAGUCCAGCGAGUCGCCUUCGCCACUGGUGUUCCACCGAAUAUCUACGAAUUUCACCUCUACACUCGGUAUUCCACUCGCCUCUCCUGACCUCCAGGCUUGCAGUUUAGAAGGCAGUUCCAGGGUUGAGCCCUGGGAUUUCACCCCCUACUUACAAACCCGCCUACGUGCGCUUUACGCCCAGUAAUUCCGAACAACGCUAGCCCCCUUCGUAUUACCGCGGCUGCUGGCACGAAGUUAGCCGGGGCUUCUUCUCCGGUUACCGUCAUUAUCUUCACCGGCGAAAGAGUUUUACAACCCUAAGGCCUUCUUCACUCACGCGGCAUGGCUGGAUCAGGCUUGCGCCCAUUGUCCAAGAUUCCCCACUGCAGCCCCCCGUAGG